GUUUGGCACCUCGAUGUCGGCUCAUCACAUCCUGGGGCUGAAGCCGGUCCCAAGGGUAUGGCUGUUCGCCAUUUAAAGUGGUACGCGAGCUGGGUUUAGAACGUCGUGAGACAGUUCGGUCCCUAUCUGCCGUGGUCGUUAGAGAUUUGAGGGAAGCUGCUCCUAGUACGAGAGGACCGGAGUGGACGAACCUCUGGUGUUCCGGUUGUCACGCCAGUGGCAUUGCCGGGUAGCUAUGUUCGGAAAGGAUAACCGCUGAAAGCAUCUAAGCGGGAAGCCCCUCCCAAGAUUAGAUCUCUCAACACUUGAUGUUGUAAGGGCCCUUGUAGACUACAAGGUUGAUAGGCCGGGUGUGGAAGCACAGUAAUGUGUGAAGCUAACCGGUACUAAUUGCCCGAGUGGCUUGGUCAUAUAACACCAAAGC
This 424-nucleotide ribosomal RNA is filed under the name Lysobacterales bacterium. RNAcentral describes it as "partial 23S ribosomal RNA". It matches the Rfam family "Bacterial large subunit ribosomal RNA", at positions 2516 to 2925 of the family's 2925-position model. Lineage: Bacteria; Pseudomonadati; Pseudomonadota; Gammaproteobacteria; Lysobacterales. The record is from RNAcentral.